This 763-nucleotide ribosomal RNA is filed under the name uncultured Streptococcus sp. RNAcentral's name for it is "bacterial SSU rRNA". It matches the Rfam family "Bacterial small subunit ribosomal RNA", at positions 28 to 776 of the family's 1533-position model. The record is from RNAcentral. Lineage: Bacteria; Bacillati; Bacillota; Bacilli; Lactobacillales; Streptococcaceae.
GACGAACGCAGGCGGCGUGCCUAAUACAUGCAAGUAGAACGCUGAAGGAGGAGCUUGCUCUUCUGGAUGAGUUGCGAACGGGUGAGUAACGCGUAGGUAACCUGCCUGGUAGCGGGGGAUAACUAUUGGAAACGAUAGCUAAUACCGCAUAAUAUUGAUUAUUGCAUGAUAGUCAAUUAAAAGGUGCAAUUGCAUCACUACCAGAUGGACCUGCGUUGUAUUAGCUAGUUGGUGAGGUAACGGCUCACCAAGGCGACGAUACAUAGCCGACCUGAGAGGGUGAUCGGCCACACUGGGACUGAGACACGGCCCAGACUCCUACGGGAGGCAGCAGUAGGGAAUCUUCGGCAAUGGACGGAAGUCUGACCGAGCAACGCCGCGUGAGUGAAGAAGGUUUUCGGAUCGUAAAGCUCUGUUGUAAGAGAAGAACGAGUGUGAGAGUGGAAAGUUCACACUGUGACGGUAUCUUACCAGAAAGGGACGGCUAACUACGUGCCAGCGGCCGCGGUAAUACGUAGGUCCCGAGCGUUGUCCGGAUUUAUUGGGCGUAAAGCGAGCGCAGGCGGUUAGAUAAGUCUGAAGUUAAAGGCUGUGGCUUAACCAUAGUACGCUUUGGAAACUGUUUAACUUGAGUGCAAGAGGGGAGAGUGGAAUUCCAUGUGUAGCGGUGAAAUGCGUAGAUAUAUGGAGGAACACCGGUGGCGAAAGCGGCUCUCUGGCUUGUAACUGACGCUGAGGCUCGAAAGCGUGGGGAGCAAACAGG